UAGGGAAUCUUCCGCAAUGGACGCAAGUCUGACGGAGCAACGCCGCGUGAGUGAAGAAGGAUUUCGGUUCGUAAAACUCUGUUGUUAGAGAAGAACAGCGCAUAGAGUAACUGUUAUGCGUGUGACGGUAUCUAACCAGAAAGCCACGGCUAACUACGUGCCAGCAGCCGCGGUAAUACGUAGGUGGCAAGCGUUGUCCGGAUUUAUUGGGCGUAAAGCGAGCGCAGGCGGUCAAUUAAGUCUGAUGUGAAAGCCCCCGGCUCAACCGGGGAGGGUCAUUGGAAACUGGUUGACUGGAGUGCAGAAGAGGAGAGUGGAAUUCCAUGUGUGGCGGUGAAAUGCGUAGAUAUGUGGAGGAACACCAGUGGCGAAGGCGACUCUCUGGGCGGUAGCUGACGAGGAGGCUCGAAAGCGUGGGUAGCAAACAGG
This 429-nucleotide ribosomal RNA is filed under the name Bacteroidota bacterium. RNAcentral describes it as "Bacteroidetes bacterium partial 16S ribosomal RNA". It matches the Rfam family "Bacterial small subunit ribosomal RNA", at positions 355 to 776 of the family's 1533-position model. Lineage: Bacteria; Pseudomonadati; Bacteroidota. The record is from RNAcentral.